Podarcis lilfordi (Lilford's wall lizard) is the source of this 72-nucleotide non-coding RNA. NCBI's taxonomy places the organism in Eukaryota, Metazoa, Chordata, Lepidosauria, Squamata, Lacertidae. The record is from the annotation of a GenBank genome assembly.
AGGGCUGCAGCUCAGUGGCAGAGCUUCUGUUUUGCAUGGGGAAGAUCCUGGGUUCAACUCCCAGCACCUCCA